CCCUUAGAUGUUCUGGGCCGCACGCGCGCUACACUGAUGCAUUCAACGAGCCUAUCCUUGACCGACAGGUCCGGGUAAUCUUUGAAUCUGCAUCGUGACGGGGAUAGAUUAUUGCAAUUAUUAAUCUUCAACGAGGAAUGCCUAGUAGGCGCAAGUCAUCAGCUUGCGUCGAUUACGUCCCUGCCCUUUGUACACACCGCCCGUCGCUCCUACCGAUUGGGUGUGCUGGUGAAAUGUUCGGAUCGGCCGUUUGUCGCGGUUUCCGCGGCUCGUGGCUGAGAAGUUCAUUAAACCCUCCCACCUAGAGGAAGGAGAAGACGUAACA
This 325-nucleotide ribosomal RNA is filed under the name uncultured eukaryote. RNAcentral describes it as "partial 18S ribosomal RNA". It matches the Rfam family "Eukaryotic small subunit ribosomal RNA", at positions 1470 to 1796 of the family's 1831-position model. The record is from RNAcentral.